Triticum aestivum (bread wheat) is the source of this 433-nucleotide long non-coding RNA. RefSeq lists it as uncharacterized. The transcript is spliced from 3 exons. The record is from RefSeq and is a predicted model, not a curated record. Lineage: Eukaryota; Viridiplantae; Streptophyta; Magnoliopsida; Poales; Poaceae.
CUCCUCCUCUUGUGGUGGCUCUCCUAGCUAUCCUGAGGUCUCCCUUGCACACGGGAGGUGGGGAGCGCGUCGUCCGGCCCCUAGCCGCCUCCCGAUGGCCGCAUCCCCAUCGGCGACUGCUCGCCUCAAGCCCCUGUAUGUGGAUUCGACGCUGUGGAAAGCAGCAAUCAACUUUUUUAUACUUGGGAAAGCAAAGUUGGUUUGCACGCAGAGGCAUCACUUAUCCGCUGUUGUUUCUACAGCUUCAGCUAGCAGCAACCACAGCAGUAGCAGUUCGAUUAUAAAAGGCAGCGACAGUCAAGAAAAAAACUGGAGAAUGGGGAGGACAAGAAUCUAGCAAGGGAGAAGGGCAAAAAGAAAGCCGGUGAUCAAGAUUUCAGGAAAGUCCCGUUGGAAAGGAGAGCUGUCCGAGUCUAGAUCGUGUCCACAUCAG